UUACAUAAGCUUAUACAAAUAUGAGGAACAGGAGAAGUUUGGGGAUGAGAGACAGGCAGUGUACUAAUAUUUUUUCUUAGGAUCAACCCUCUUUUUCUGAUUGUAAAUUGUUUUAACUGGUGUUCAUCAUUUUACAUGGUUGUAACCUUAUGGUGAAAGUCAUCUAUGUCAUAGCUGCCAUAGCUCAGAAAUCAGUCAUUUGAAUCAUAGUACUAUUUUUUUCUGGCUCUUUAAUUUGAAUGAAUGUAUGUGUUUAUGAAAGACUAUAGAUUUAAACAAGCACAGCAACAAUAUUCAUCAAAGCUAAUUAUGAGCCUCAACACGUGUGUGUGUGUGUGUGUGUGUGUGUGUAGGGAGGGGGUGGCUCUCCAGAACUAAACUGUAAUGCAUAGGACCAGGAGAUCUUGUGUGUGUGUGUGUAUACACAUCAUCUACAUAUGGUGAUUAUAAUAUCAUUGAGAAGAGAUUUGAGAUUUACAAAAGUAAGAUUUGAAUCUCCUUUAACUGAAGGAGACAUUAACUGAGAAGGAACUGCAAAUAUUAUUUAAUAGGGGAAAAAACCUGCAGCAAUGAAUAUACCAGGACUGGUGAACUUGCAGACUAAGAGUCAUAUGCACUCUUGACCUAAUUAACAUGGGUGAAGGUAACCAAGGAACGAAGGAGGGAGGGAAGGAGGGAGGGUGGGAAGGCAAAGUGGAUAGAGUAAAGGAAGGAAGAGGUGGGAAUAAUUCUCUGUGAGCCAUUGGUUCAGACCUCUAGCAAUAGUGAUCUUUCCCAGUGGCGGACCUUGGGGUCUCCAAUUUCAGCAGCGUCCUUUGCGAUGCCAAAAUUUGGUGUCCUCUGCCUUUCACGCUCCAUUCUAAAUAACCAUUGUAGUGCUCCAAGGCUCUGCACCCAGUUCAACCGAACCAGUCGUGCUCCUCUACAUCCGCCUCUGGCUUUUCCUGGUAACCCACCAAGCAGGGAUGAAUAAGGAGUGGGGCAGGGGGUAGGAUGUCACAGAGAGAGACAAAGGGGGAGGGGAUGGACCUGCCUACCAUGGGCUCUCAGCCCACUCAUUGAUGCCUCCAGCCUUGUUUUCUGUUGUUACGUGGCCCUUAAUAGAUUACUUAUAAUGGAAUGUGGCCCUGAAAAGAAAUCCCGUCUCUAUUCUUGAAAAGACAUUGGAUGAGGGACUCUAUCAGACUGGGAGCAGCACACACUUGGUGUAUAUGGAGCAAGAGCCUAAAAUAUAAGACAGUUUCAUAAGCUCAUAUAAAGAGAGAUGCUGCCUUCAGACCUGUACAUGAUAUCCUAAGUUACUGUGAGUUGGAAAAUUACUAAAUUCUUCUUAACUAUAAAAUAAAUAGUGGUGGUUUCUGCCUAAAUAUGUAAACUACUAUGAUAGGGGUUUUCAUAUAUAAGCUGUUAGGCAGAGAUUAACCUGUUGUCCUCUAGCUGUUGCUGUACCAGAACUCUCUGACCAUUGGCAAUGCUGGCUGGGAUAGAUGGGAGUUUAACAAUAUCUGGAGGGCCACAGGUUAGCCACUCUCGUUAUAAGAAAUAGACAGCCCUGGUAGCAUAUUGCUUAGAAUGAUACCUAAAGUACAAAAAAGUAAUUUAUUAUAGCUGUAUUACAAGAAACCAAGUAAAUUGCUUUUCACUUCUUCAGUAUCUUUCUAUUAUUUCCUUUUAACUGAAAGGCAAAUGAAACAAAAGUGCAAGGCAUGCGGCCUUACGAUAAUGUUAGUGUCUGAUUGAUCGUCAUCAGUAUAUGACUACAACUUUGGCUGAGAUUCUAGGCUUAAAUUAUCUUGACAUUUCUCAGUCAAGAAUAGGAAAUGUUUCCUGUUAGGUUAUAUAAUGCUUCAGAGGCUGUUCUAGGUCCACCCAUAUAUCUUCCUUCCUUUCAUUCUUUCUUUAAAAACCCAAAGCAGAUGCAAAUCUUGAGCAGAGGGACAGUGAUGGUGGAUAGGGAAAAUGGCUGCGCAGUCCUUUCACAUACAACUGGUCUUUCUCCCUGCUAAACAUUGCCCCCAGAGACUACAUUUCCACUUGCAGGAGAAGAUAUGGAUACCCAAGUCUCUUCUCUGCGAGGUGGAAAGCAGCUUAGAGGAGAAUAACGGCCAGGAGAAAAGGGAGAAGCAGCUUCAUCCUCUCCUGAACUGGUUCUCUGCUUAGGUUGAAGCCUCUGCAAAUGCUUUAGUUUUUAGUUUUUAAAGGCAUGCAGAUUAGCCUUACAUGUAAUUUGGUUCUAUAGUCUACUUUUCGUGUCUCUUUGUAAAAAUACUGGUACUGUAUGUUCUCAAGCCAGCCUGGAAUUGCUUUCUUCCACAUGGCAAAUAAUUAAGGCAUGAGUAGAAAUCCACUUGUGCAAAUUUUGAUCCAGUCUGAUGACAUACGACUAUUGUUGAAAGAGUAAAGGCUAAAGCUUCCUAGUGCCUUGGUGUCUGUUACAGGAAGUAAACAUAGGAUACAGUCUGUUUGUGCAAAGCAACCUAUAAUAUUUCCUAGUACUUCCAGGAAAGUUGGAGGUAACUUCCAUCACAUAUGCUAAUAUGUUCCUCUUUCUCUGACAUGUUGCCAACAUUUGUCAGUCAUAUUUUUGUCUAUAUAUUUCAAAGUGUUGUAGACCAGUGUACCAGUAAUUUACAUGAAAUUUCUUUUAUACUAGAAUUAGUGAACUUACUUUCUAUUUUUUAAAUCCCAGGAUAUUUUGUUUCUUCCACCCCUAAAUUAGGGUGCCAUUCUCCAAGUUGUUGUUGUUUAGUCAUUUAAUCGUGUCCGACUCUUUGUGACCCCAUGGACCAGAGCACGCCAGGCACUCCUGUCUUCCACUGCCUCCCGCAGUUUGGUCAAACUCAUGCUGGUAGCUUCGAGAACACUGUCCAACCAUCUCGUCCUCUGUCGUCCCCUUCUCCUUGUGCCCUCAAUCUUUCCCAACAUCAGGGUCUUUUCCAGGAAGUCUUCUCUUCUCAUGAGGUGGCCAAAGUACAGGAGCCUCAGCUUCACGAUCUGUCCUUCCAGUGAGCACUCAGGGCUAAUUUCCUUAAGAAUGGAUAGGUUUGAUCUUCUUGCAGUCCAUGGGACUCUCAAGAGUCUCCUCCAGCACCAUAAUUCAAAACAUGCUCCAAGUAAUGUCUGUCAAAUGUUAGCCAUUAAAAUUCUGUAAGCCUGUAUGACCAAACUUUCACUGAUAGUAAUUAUAGUGAAUUAUUUGCUCAAAGUCGGUGAACUUUUUGGUCACUUGUUUUGUAUACUUAAGUUGCCAGAGAUCACCUCCUCUUUCAAGGUGGUUUCUCUGAUGUAACUGAAACUGCACCCAGUUAGUUUUUCAUCUUAUUAGGAAUCAUUUUCCAUUUAACAUAUAUUAGAGAAAGUAAGCUUUUCUGAUUGCUGCAUGAUGGUGUUGGGGCAAGUAUAGAAAGUAAUUCUGCCUGUAGCAGCUCUUCCCAUUCAUCCUUUGAACUCAAUAUAAUCAGACUGUCUAAUAUGGCCAACCCUGUCUGCCUUCUCCCACUACAACUUUGUUUUCAUAGCUAAGCUUUUAGCUCAACAUGGUAGUUUAAGUAAGGUUGUUCUUUUUUUAAAGGAAGGUUGUGGUGAGCACUGGAUCAUCCCAUAUAACAGAGUCUGUUUAAUUUUAUUUUGCAAUUCAAAAAGAUGUUCAAGGGUGGCCAAAAUACAGAUCUAUUUUACCAGCAAAACCCAGGAAUUUAUGCUGAGAGGUCAAUGGACUUUUGCUGGUGUAAAAAUGCAGGCUGUGAUGAAAAUUAAACCCAUUAAUUUGGUUAAUAUGAGCUCUCUCACAGCAACAGUUGCAUAGAGCAUAUGCUCCUAGAUGCUCAUGUUUGAAAUGAUGAUUCACAGUUAAUCGUUAUGAGAAAUAGCUUACCACUUCAUAAACUCUAGGAAAGACUGUUUUCUUUUUCAAACAUUUAAAUUACUCAGCCAUUUUAUGCAUUAAACCCAAUUAUAACUAAUAGUAUUUCAGAGAAUUUAAAAAGCCAUUUCUUGCACGAUAAGUACUUAGCACAUUUUAUCACAUGGCAGUGGGACCCACUCUGUACCACAGCAUCUAAAAAUAAAUGUUGAAUUGAAACUCAGCAAGACUGUUAGAUUGCCAUCCUGUGCAUGCUUGGUUGAAGUAAAUGGGACUUUCAGGUGAUCAUGGAUAGGAUCAGGCUGCUCAUUAGAUGUGCAUAUAUUUCCUUAAGCUGAAAAUACCUUAAAGGCAUGGUGAAUAACAAUAUAUUGCCAUAGUUAUGGUGAAUUAAACUAUUGGAGUCAUGCCAUUUCUAAUUGAUUUUACUCCCCCCAAAAACCAUUCUGAGAUCCCCUAGACCAGUAUGAGAGAGAAAAAAGAGCUGCUGAGGGAAUUGACAAAAAUGGUCUUCCCCAUUUCUGCCAGCAGGAUCCUCCAUAAGGUCAGUCAGAAAUUUGCAUGACAAAAUUAUUAGAUUAAUGAUGAUGGUGGAGUAAGCAGGGAAAGUGCUUCUGAGAGCAUUGCAUUUAAUUUGCAUGACUAGGAACAUGCUUAUAUUAGCCAUUGCCAUGCAGAUCGGUAGAAUGAUACACUGGUAAAAAUAUGGUAUUAAUGAGUCUGCAACUUUAAUGAAAUUAUGCAGCCAUCUAGGUUGUCUUGUCAAGUUUUUUAUAUUCAAAAAUGGGACCCAUCACCAUGAUGGUGAAGUGGUGUUUUGCAGUUGAUCAUUGUGAGAAUCUACACAUCUUUUUCAGUGGUUCAAUGCAUUCAUAUUGUUAUCUAUGAGAUCUGCAAGCUUCACAGCAAAUUCAACAGGAGUGUGGUUCAUGCUCUGAACAUGUGCUUGACAACUGACAAGACUCAGGAGGACAAGAUGCCUUUGUUGAUUUCCACUUAAAUGUGGCUCCAUAAAUGGGACACUAUUUUGAUUAUCCAUAGUUCUUAUAGAAAGCAAGUAAAGAACUGGGAGUUUUCAGAAUGCAGGACUUUGACCUCAUUUUUAUUUCCUCACUGUCAUCCCAAUUUCUUCUCUAUGUAAAAUAGUUUGAAACAUCAACAGUUGUUUGAGUGAGUGGAGUAUUACAUAGAUUCAUUAUUAAAUAGCAGAGAAAUUAGAGAACUUGCCUUGGAUUUUUGUUGUAGGGUUAUCUAUAUGUAAAGUCAUGUGGUCAUUGGGUUCUGGGUUAAUGCCACAUUAGACUGCAGCCGCAGAUCAUGAUUCUGCAUGCUUCCCCUAUAAAUAUUCCCUUCUGCAAAAAACAGGUACAUUGGUGAGAAGUCUAGGUCGGAACAUUUUUCCCUGAUGGACCAGUUUUUCCAAGGAGGGAUCAUGUUAAAUAGGGGAGUAUUCAAAAACAAGAUCACUACUGCAAUUUGAAGUAGUAGAGUCUAUGACCUGCACCACAUAAUCUUGCUGAAUGUGUAGUUGGCUCUAAGGGCUGAACUACUGUACAUUUUACAUGGAGAUGUAAUGUGCUACAAAACCCCCCAUAGUUUUUAAAAUGAAAAGCAUCUUUGGGAGAGCACAGUUUUGGUAUAGAAAGCUUUCCCAUUUGUGUUUUUCUCAUUGCAAUUCUUUGCACACUCCAGCUGCAAAGGAAGAUUCCAGACGUGUAUUCGCCUUUGCAAAUGUAUGUCUGGAAACCCACACCAUCAUGGGGAAAACUAGUUUGGGUAAAGUGUUGUGGUGGAAAGCUAGUAGGUGGGGGAAAGGUUACACACACCCUCCCUACUGCACCAUCUUUCCUUCAAAUCACUCUCUUCUGAAGUGGCUGUGGCAAAUGAUUUCAAACUGAUGUGUUAAAGUCAUAUGAGAAGUGUGUAAUACCACAGGCAGUGAUGUCCGAAUUGUCCCCAAGACCAUUGAAUUAAAGUUGUCAGCGACUAAGAUUUGCCAAGUAAAGUCAUACUUAUCAAUAGCUCCUCUUGUUAGAUAUUCAAAGUUCAAGUGCUUGUUUGCUUUAGUUAAGUGCUCUGAAGUGCUUCAAAAGGCAUUGGCCCUAUUAUAUAAACAAAUAGAGAAACUGUUAAUUGCUGCUGCCCGUUUAGAGUGACGUGCCUAAUAUGGAUUGUUUAGCGGAGGUCUGCAGUACGUUAGCUGUAGUCUUGGGGAACCAUAGCUUUAAAAAUUCUUCAAGUAAUGAAGCUAGCUUGUAGCCCAGGUAUUUGCUCAGGGAUAAAACACUGGAGAAGACUGGAAAAAGAAAUAGGAUAAAUACUUUUAUGCUAUUCCUGUUAAAUGUUUUUAUUUAUUAUUUUUUUAUCCCACAUUGUCUAAGGCUGAUUCACAGAGGCCAUUUUCCUUUUCAUGCAAAUGGUUUUGACUACUUCUUCAUAUACAUUCACACAGACAACACAGUAGGUGAAUUGGCUGUUCAUGAUUGAAGCUGAAGACAGUUUCCAAGAUGGUGGUAACACUUUUUUCAAGUACCUGAAAUCAUGUAAAUUGCUGCUGGCUUUAUCUGUGAUUUUUCGUUUCCCUUGUUAUGUUGUCUGUGUGAAAGUUUCCCUGGCUACAUGCACAGAGACACAAAUGUGUUGUGUGAUCCGCUUCUAAUAUUUCAUGUGAUAUUCUUGCCCAACCUGCUGGUGUUCAUUACUUGUACUCUUAAGACCGUCAUCUCUGCAAGGUAGAACGCAAUGGAGAUAUGAACUAUGAACACUACAUAGAAUUUGAUCACUCAACACAUUUUUGUAUCUGUGGACAAGCCUGACCAUCUUCAGGUAACGUAACAAAUGAACUGGUCUAGGAGGCUAUGGUGCUUUUAGGAUAUUAGUCUAGUUGAUUCAAGAGGUAUCUUCCAGUUCUGGAAAUCUAUUAUGUAUAAGUGUACAAAACAAGCAUAUUGCUCAUUCUUUCCUGCAAGAUCAGUGGAUAUUUUUGUAGCCGAUUUUUCUCAUGCACGUUAAGAGUAAUUUUGAUUGAAGUCAACACAGCUGAACCUUAAGGUGAAUGCACUUGGGCUCCUACAAGGAUUUUAUUAUCAGAAGAUUUGAGGUCUGAUGAACAGCUUAUAAGGAUCUUUGCUAUUUCCUUUUACAGUGUCAGUCGUGGUAUUUGGAGCAGCUUGAAAAAUCAAGUUUCAUAAGGUCUGAUGGUAAAGUACUCCAUCAGAGAUUAUGCUGAUCCAAAUAGAGUGAGAAAGUGUGUUAGCCAUGGAGCAAAAAUACAUACCAAAUCGGCAGCAAACCACUUUGAAUGGCAAGAACUGUGAGUGUAAGGAGUUAACCUCAGCCCUUACAGCCAGAAUUAGAUAAUUUGGCAUCCAUUCCUGGAUGAGAUCAGUUAUUGGAAACAUGAUAUGCAUAUGGUUUUCUUUUAUGUGAUUCAAAUACUGCAUGCAAGUCCCAGAAUGGAGUUGCAAGACAAUAAAUUAGCCCUAUAGCUAAUCUAAAUGCCAUUUCUAAAAAAAGAAGCAUGACGAACCUUAUAAAUAGUUAGACAUUACUUAGCUUGAAACUACUUUUGUCAAAUCUGAUCAGUGCCAAAAAGUCACCUUUCUAAACAUUAGCUGGGGGAUUAAUCAGGAAUGACAAAAAUGUACUUUCGUCACAGGAAACAGAGUAAUCCUUUAAAAUUCAAUAGAAGAAGCUGAAUGGGUCCAAGGCCUUUGAUUGCCCCCAAGCAGCCGCAUUACAUAUUUCAUGAGGUGGGUGGACCCAGGGUCCCUUACAGUCAGCUGCAGCAGCAGAUGUGAUAGUUCUGUAGCACCAGAAUUCUUAUAGCACAUGCAGGUUCAUGGCUUCCAAGUGGAUAAAGUUGUCCAGCAUCAGUGGCAGCCUCAGGAUGCUGCUAUCCACUCAACAUCCACGCACCUACAUGUUCAUCCACUGGGCUCCUGCUUCAAUUUUGUAAAGCCCUACAAUGACAGUGUUGGAUCUCCUCCACCAUUCAGUAGCACUUAGCAGUGACCUUUGGAAUUGGAAGGCAAACCACUGCACAAACCACCACUGCCUGGGUUAUCGCCAAGCAUGCAGGCCAUAACUCUGGAAUGUUAGCUUCUGUCCUAGUGCAGGGGCCUUCCUGUCCACAGACCAAGAGACACUCUAGUAUGAACUGCGGUAGCAAGAAACGUCCCUUUAGCCCAAUAUUUGAUGACUUUAUGUUUUCUUGAAAAAGUAUUACUACUUUGUGCAAAGCGCUUUACAUUUGUCACAGCAAUCUUUGAGAUGGGGAACCGAUUCAAGUUUCUGCUUUGCCUGUUUUAACGGCAAAAUAUUAGAUAUCAGUUCAGAUCUGUAUCCUAAACUCUUCAGCCUUAUGACAUUUCCUCCCUUUUAACUUUGGCUUUUGGGAAGGGCUGCAACCUGCAGGUGGUUUUCCCCCUGCUGUGUCUGUUGCUAUGUAGAUGGAAGAUGGAGCUGGGAACUGGCAUGCCCUGUGCAAGAGCUUCACCCUCUAAAACAAGGAUGGGGAACCAGCAGCCCUCCAGAUGCUGUUGGAUUAACAUUCCAAUCAGAUCCAGCAAACGUAGCCAGUGGUCAGGGAUUAUGUAAAUUGUAGUCCAACAACUUCUGGAGAACUACAAGUUCUCCAUUCCUGCUCUAAAAUGUUUUCAGCAACUGCUGAGGCCUCACCCAAUGGCAAAGAAUGAUUUGAUCAUUGCCACUACCUGUUUGUGAGUUGUAAAAGUCCACACACACUGUUCCAAACAGUUUCUAACUUUUCUUUUGGGCUUUUUGUUACCAGUAGAUUCCAGGAUAACGAACAAGUUUCCUAAAUGUUCACUGAAUUUAUGUGAGCUGAGCAGGCCAUUAGUUCCCUGGUACUGAAUGCACUUCUAGUUGACUGCAGCAACCACUAAACACUGAUAGAUUUUAAUUCAUUUUGAGAAUUAGACAGUGCAGUAUGAAUCUUUUGAAAAUUGAAUGAGGAAGACUAGUAUGAGGGCCUCUCUGUCAUUCCUCAUUUCAGGUCCAUAGCAACUGUAUUUUUUAUGCCACACUAAAUAUCACUUUCUUUGCUGUGUUUACAUCCACACUGGCAUUUGCUGUGUUAGCAUUAUUAGCAUAUGCAUCUGAGUUUUCUCAGCCAUUCCUCAGUAGGUCACUAUCCCUUCUCUUAAAAAUACAUCGAAAAUCACAUGUAUCUGGAAAGAUAUGCAUGAUCUUAAAGAUCUAAUACCAAAUACAUUUCCCUUCCAAUUUAUUUGCAAAAAAAGGUGAAUGUAAAAUUUAAAACAUUGCACACUGCAUAGGCUUCCCAAUAAUUUGGGAAAAUAAGGAAGUGUAAUAUCUCCU
Molecule: non-coding RNA, 9205 nt
Organism: Podarcis lilfordi (Lilford's wall lizard)
Lineage: Eukaryota; Metazoa; Chordata; Lepidosauria; Squamata; Lacertidae
Source: the annotation of a GenBank genome assembly